RNAcentral lists this unclassified non-coding RNA (760 nucleotides) under Hevea brasiliensis (rubber tree). The record is from RNAcentral. Lineage: Eukaryota; Viridiplantae; Streptophyta; Magnoliopsida; Malpighiales; Euphorbiaceae.
AUAAGACUAAAAAAUAUAAAAUAUAAAAGAAUAAAUCCGUGGUGAAGCACUUAACUAAGUGUAAAAAAUAUAUAGAUAUGUGAAUUUGUUUUGUAAUAUAAUUUCUCAAACUCACUUAAAGCCAAUUCUAAAUCAAUAUGCUUGAAAACAUGUACCAUUUUUUUAAACUUAGAUGUGCGUCAAAUUCUCAAUCUUAUCCUCAAUAAGGAUGACAUAUACAAUACACCUCAGCUAAGACUUUUUUAAACUUCUUCUAUUUUAGUUAUGCUGGCUUUUCCAUUCUAUUUGUCUUGUAUUACUAACUUAAUAUGAACAACUUCACACAACUUGGUAAUGAUCGUAAUAAGAUUGGUCAACUAUAUUGACAUCAAUCAUUUUUGAAAAAUUCAGAAAUGGAAAGUUCAUUAACAAAUAGCAUUCUAUGCUUGGGAGCGAAAGAGAAAAGUAUAAGCGUAACUGUAACAGUAAAAAAAAAAAGAACUAGAAGUGUUGGCUUCAAAUAUCAUUUGAUAGCCUCUUUGUGCUUGAAAGGUCAAAAAACUUUGAAAACAAUAUUAACUACAAAUGUGGACAUGAGCUGAAAUUGAACUCACUUCAAUGUUUAAGAGACCAUUUAGCCCAUCUUCCAAUGAUCCUAAUAAGCAAGCAUCCUGAUGAUAAAGCAGAUUGCAACCAGAACACACCAAUGGCAGUGGCACCAUUAAUUUAUUGAAAGAAGCAACAAAAGUAAAUAGACUAAAAACUAUAUACACCCAAAAUA